RNAcentral lists this small nuclear RNA (191 nucleotides) under Eptatretus burgeri (inshore hagfish). Its description in RNAcentral is "U2 spliceosomal RNA (ENSEBUG00000000196.1)". It matches the Rfam family "U2 spliceosomal RNA". From Rfam's summary of the family: U2 is a small nuclear RNA (snRNA) component of the spliceosome (involved in pre-mRNA splicing). Complementary binding between U2 snRNA (in an area lying towards the 5' end but 3' to hairpin I) and the branchpoint sequence (BPS) of the intron results the bulging out of an unpaired adenosine, on the BPS, which initiates a nucleophilic attack at the intronic 5' splice site, thus starting the first of two transesterification reactions that mediate splicing. The record is from Rfam by way of RNAcentral. Lineage: Eukaryota; Metazoa; Chordata; Myxini; Myxiniformes; Myxinidae.
ACCGCUUCUCGGUCUCUUCAGGCUAAGAUCAAGUGCAGUAUCUUUUCUUAUUGAUUUAAAGCUCAUGUCGCACAUUGUGGAAUUAUCUAUAAAAUUAAUUUUUGAUUCUGGGUGUUGAAUUAUGAGUAUUCUGUGUUCUCCAUGCUUUUCCAUGUCCUGGUAUUGUCAUAUCUCCAGUAUCAGUACCAACU